Molecule: ribosomal RNA, 442 nt
Filed under: uncultured bacterium
Lineage: Bacteria
Description: partial 16S ribosomal RNA
Rfam family: Bacterial small subunit ribosomal RNA
Source: RNAcentral
CCUACGGGUGACUGCAGUGGGGGAUAUUGCACAAUGGGGGCAACCCUGAUGCAGCGACGCCGCGUGUGCGAAGAAGUAUUUCGGGUUGUAAAGCCCUAUCAGCGGGGAAGAAGGAAUUACGGUUCCUGACUACAACACACCGGCUAAAUCCCGGCCAGCAGCCACGGUAAUACGGAGGGAGCAAGCGUUCUCCGGAUUUACGGGCAGUAAAGGGACCGCAGGCGGCACGUCAAGCCUGAUGUGAACGCCCGGGUCCCAACCGCGGGACUGCAUUGGGAACUACCGGGCUGGAGUGUCGGAGAGGUAGGUGGAAUUCCAAGUGUAGCGGUGAAAUGCGUAGAGAGUAGGAGGAACACCAGUGGCGAAGGCGGCCUACUGGACGGUGACUGACGCUGAGGCGCGAAAGCGUGGGGAGCAAACAGGAUUAGAUACCCCUGUAGUC